This 491-nucleotide ribosomal RNA is filed under the name uncultured bacterium. Its description in RNAcentral is "bacterial SSU rRNA". It matches the Rfam family "Bacterial small subunit ribosomal RNA", at positions 28 to 514 of the family's 1533-position model. The record is from RNAcentral.
GACGAACGCUGGCGGCGUGCUUAACACAUGCAAGUCGAGCGGUAAGGCCCUUUCGGGGGUACACGAGCGGCGAACGGGUGAGUAACACGUGGGUGACCUGCCCUCAGCUCUGGGAUAAGCCUGGGAAACCGGGUCUAAUACUGGAUAUGACUCCAUGACGCAUGUUGUGGGGUGGAAAGCCUUGUGCGGCUGAGGAUGGGGCCCCGCGGCCUAUCAGCUUGUUGGUGGGGUGANGGCCUACCAAGGCGACGACGGGUAGCCGGCCUGAGAGGGCGGACGGCCACACUGGGACUGAGACACGGCCCAGACUCCUACGGGAGGCAGCAGUGGGGAAUUUUCGCAAUGGGCGCAAGCCUGACGAAGCAACGCCGCGUGGGGAUGAAGGUCUUCGGAUCGUAAACCCCUGUCGACCGGGACGAACGCACCCGACUAACACGUCGAAGUGUUGACUGUACCGGUGGAGGAAGCCACGGCUAACUCUGUGCCAGCAG